AUUUUACUACUCACUGGGGAAAAUGAAAAAUGAAUCAGGUACAGUUCUUGCCUUCAAAGGCUCAAAUCUAUUAUAGCAGAUAAGAUAUGGGCACACAUAGCAUAAACAUAGUAGUAACAGUAAAAUUGAUAAUGAUGAUAAUAGCCAUUGCUUAUAUAGAGCUCACUAUAUUCCAGGAAGUGUUUUAAAUAUAUCACAUAUUUUAAUAUAUUAAAUCCUUACAGUGACCUUACGAGAAAAGUAUUAUUGUUAUCCUCCAUUUUGCUAAUGAGGAACAGAGGCCCAAGAAGGCUAAGGGACUUGUCAAAGGCCACAGAGCUAGCGAGUGGCAGAGCUGUGAUUCAGUUCUAGGCAGCCCAGUGCUAAGAUAAAAAGUAAUCAUUGUAAUUAGAGGGGAACAUUGCCUAGGCUACUCUCGAACUCCUGGGCUCAAGUGAUCCUCCUGGCUUACCUUCCCAAAGAGCUGAGAUUACAGGCGUAAGCCACCACCCACACCUGGCCCCAAACUGGCUUUCGAGGCUGUCCACAGUCCAGACUUGCAUAUCCAACCUACCUCUCCUCAAGGAAAAUACUUUCUCUAACUGGGUUCUUCAGAAUUCAGGAGCACAUCCCACUCUUGGCCAAUCCCACACCUUGGCUCACCAAGUCCCAGAAAAUGACUCAUGCUUUUAUCUGUCUCCACCUACUCCCUCCAGCCAGCCCAAGCUAACCUGUCUCCUUACAACUCUUUCAGUCUUGCCACUCAUUUAAUCCUGCCCUGACCUGUGUGCUUCCCCACACCCAGCAUUAUGAUGGGUCCUCGAUCCUGUCUCCUGCAGAACUGCAGCAGCCUCCUUGAUUUCCAUGGAAUGUCUGGAGUGUCAUUCCCGGGCCUCUGCAGAGAUGAUUAUUUUAUUUCGAUGUGUUUUUGUUGGCAGCAGUCUGAUGCAUCAUCACACAUCCAACUCAAUGUGUGAUGUGCAUCAUACAGUGCUCUUACAAGAGGAGUAAACAGUGAGACGAGCAAGCGGCUGUUAUUUGUCUCAAAAUGUCUUCAUUCUGAGAAUUGCAGACUGCAGAUAAGAGCUGUCAAUCAGCAGUCAUGAACAUUGUUAAAACUAGCGAAGACUCUUUUCAAACUUCUAUAAAGAAGAAAAUCCAAACUCCUUAGCCAAGCCCUUAUAAUCAAGGUCUCCCAAGAGCUUAUUCUUUAAUCAAUUAAUUAAUUCAAUAAAUAUUUAUGGAUUGCCUACCAUGUGCCAGGCACAUUAGUAGUUGCUCCAGAGAGUAUUGAACAAAAAAGACAAAAUCCUUACUCUCCUGGAGCUGGCAUUUUAGGAAGUGGACAGCAAAUGCUUAAACUAGGGGUUGGCAGAUUAUGGCCUAUAGGUCAAAUCCAUCUUGCCACCUACUUUUGUAAAUAAAGUUUUAUUGGAACACAGCCAUGCUCAUUUAUUUUACUUACUGUCUAUGGCUGGUUUUACACCACAAUGGUAGAGUUAGUAGUUGUGACGGCAACCGUAUGGCCUGCAAAGCCUAAAAUAUUUACCAUCUGGCCCUUUAUAAGACAAGUUUGCCAACCUAUGGCCCAGAAAAAAUAAGCAUAAAAUAUGUCAGGUGACGAUUCGUGUCAUGAAGAAAAAUAAACAGGUGUGGAGAUUAAAAUGAUGAAAGGUGUUUCUAGAGAUUUGCACGCCAAUAACAUGACCAUGAAUAAAAGAGCCAAAUGAAAGAGAGCAAACCACAAGAAACAGUUAACUGAGGAAAAUGGGUUCAGGGAGAGAAAACAGCAAAUGCAAAGACCACGCCACAAAACCAUGCCACUUGGCAUGUUUAAAAACAUCAAGAAGGGCUGGGCACAGUGGCUCACACCUGUAAUCUCAGCACUUUGGGAGGCCAAGGUGGAUGGAUUGCUUGAGCCUAGGAGUUCAAGACAAGCCUGAGCAAUGUGGCAAAACCCUGUCUCUACAAAAAUACAAAAAAUUAGCCGGGUAUGGUGGCACUCACCUGUAGUCCAGCUACUCAGGAGGCUGAGAUUGGAGGAUUGUUUGAGUCCAGGAGGUUAAGACUGCAAUGAGCCAUGAAUGUGCCACUGCAUUCCAGCCUGGGUGACAGAGUGAGACCCUGUUUCGAAAAACAAAACAAAACAAAAAUAAACAAACAAAAACAUCAAGAAGGUACACAGGGUUGCAGCUGAGUGAGCAAGGGGAGGAGAAACAAAGAUGAGAUAAGAAAGCUGCCCAAGGGCCAGACCAUGGAGGACUUGAAGGCCCAGGUACCGACCUUGGUUUUAUGGUGAGUGGGGUGUAAAGCCGUCAUAGGUUUGGAGUAGACAAUGGUCUGACUAUGUGUUUUGAGAGAUCUCUUUGACUGUUGUGUAGAGCAAAGGAUUCAGGAUAAAGAGUGGAAGCAGCAUGGCCAGUGAAGAGGCUACUCCAAAAGUCCAGAUAAGAGAUGCUAGCAUCUUGGACAAGGAUAAUAGCCCUGAGGUGGUGAAAGGUGGUCCAAUUCAGGGUACAUUUGGGAGGCAGAGCCAGUAGGAUUCCCUGAUGGAUUAGGCAUGGAGGCAAAAGGGAUCUCAAGGUUUGGGGCCUGAGUCACUUGAAAAAUGAAACUGCCAUUUAUGAGAUGGGAAAGGUAGGAGGAGAGGCAGACGGGGAGAGCAAGAGAGUGGACAUCAGGAUUUCUGCUUUGAAGGCAUCAAGUCUGAGUGUUUAUUAAGUAGACAUGGGCAAGGCAGCGUCAUCCACUGCUGCUCUCUUUUGCUUACCUCCUUGUGGCUUGUGAGGGCCUGCUUAUUAGGUUCCUGUGGACCCUCCAACUUAUUUCCUGCUUCUCUCCUUCUCAGCCCUGCCUCCUGCUAUGCAAGCCUUCAGCCUCUUGAACAGGUUACACACCUUUUUGCCUGGUAGCCCUUCCAUCCUCCAGGUUGCAACUAAAAUACUACCUUCUGACAAGAGAUCUUACCAGCCUGCCACCUCCUGUUAAUCUCUACUUCAGUCCCCAUAUCUUACCUACAUAGAGUGUUUCUACUUUCAGUUAUUUAAUUAAUUAGUUGACUUGUCUUUUGUCUGCCCUUUCGGCCUCUCCAUGCCCCGCAAAGCUGAAAGUCAUAGCCAAUAUGCAGCCUGUGUCUGUCUCAUUCUUUACCACAUUCCCAGGGCUUAGCAUAGUCUUUGCUGCACAACUUUUAACUUUUUCUUUUUCAGCUAUAAAACCCUUUCCUGAUGUGAAAUCUUGUGCAGACCCCAGUAUGCUUGUUCAUUUAUUCAUUAUGCAGAUAAAACAGGUGUGACUCUGGUUGAAUUGGGGCUGAGGGGUCCCAUAUUGUGGCCCCUGUCCUGAGAACUAUUACCCGUGUUAAACCGGACACCUCCCCACACUCCAGUUAUCAGUGUCAGAAUGUCCAAGGCAUCAUACUUCCCGGGGCAAUUAAAUAUCAAAAGAAAAAAAAAUCAUAUCAACGUAAGAUUGGCACCAUUUCAUUUUGCUAAAUAAAGAUAUUUAAAAACCUCCUAGCUGCUAGCUACUCUAUUAGUCAGAGUGUGCUACAGGAAGAAAUAACCCUCCGGAUCUCUUAGCUUCAUACAAUGGAAGCUUAUUUUUCUCUCCCCCUACAUGCCCAGGGAGGUUGGCAGUGUUGUAGUCACUGGGGAAUCCAGGCUGACAGCGACUGAGUCUUGACAUAUAUUUCCAUGACCUCUGAGGCAGGACAAUGGAUCAAGGCAGACUGUCCACUGGCUUUCAGACAUUCUGCCUGGAAGUGACAUGUUCUUUUUACUUUUCUUUCAUUUGUGAAGACAAAUCACUUGGCCAGACCUCACUUAAACAGGGCCAGGAAGAGUAAUCCUCCCACACACCAUUCUUAUUCUUCUUUUAUCUCUUCCCUAAUUCAGCAGCCAAGUUGCCUUGCACCCAGGCCUCAGAUACAGAGCUGUCCCAGUAGAUUCAGACUAGCAUGGCAUCUCUUUCCUAUGACAAAUGACAGUUGAAGUUUUAGAGAAGAUUCCUGAAACUUGGAAGUUGUAGGGAGGAUAGCUGGAUCCUGAUCCUAUCCUAGCUAGCACCAAUGAGGACUGGGAGGAAGAGGCUGGGACAUGAGAUGUAUUCUCUUCUUUGUUCCUCACUCUAUCUCUGUGGGUGGAAAAAAUUACUCCCAUUCUAUAGAUGAGAGACCAGAACCUCAGAGAGGUUAAGCAACUUUCUUAGGGGGCACAGCUAGGAGGGUAGGCUGAAUAAUGAUCCCCCUAAAAUGUCCACAUUCUAAUCCCAAAAACUUAUUUAAAAAGGGACUUUGCAGGGGUGACUGAGUUAAGGAUCCUCAGAUGAGGAGGUUUUCAUGGAUUGUUUGGGUGGGCCCAAUGUAAUCCAAGGAUCCUUUCAAGAGCAAGGCAGGAGGGCCAGAGUCAGAGAAACAGACACGACAAUGGAAGCAGAGGUUGGGGUGAUACUGGAGUGGGAGGGGCCACCAGCCAAGGAAUGCAGGCAGCCUCUAGGAGCUGGAAAAGGCAAGAAAGCAUGUUUCCUCCUCGAGCCCCGUCAAGGAACCAGCCCCACUGGCAGCUUGAUUUUAAUCCUGUAAGACCCAUUUUGGACUUUUGAGCUCCAGAGCUGUAAGAUAAUAAAUGUGUGUUGUGUUAGGCCAGUUGGUGGUAAUUUGUUAUAGCAACAACUGGAAACUAACACAGGUUGGCACAGAGGGGAGGGAGGCUUUGCGCGCAGGCCUGUCUGGCUUCAACCUCCAUUUCAUCAUGGGCCAGGAGGCCUGAACCACAGAUGAGAGACCUGGGCAGCAGAGGACAGGUGGGAGCUGGUUAAGGGGAAAUAACAAAGAUAUGACUGAUAAGGGACUUGAUGUGGCAGAUGAAGGAGAGGUAGGACUUAGGAUGAGGCCCCAAUAUGGCUUGACAACGAUGGGGAUGGGAGGGUACCAUUCACCCAGAUGGGCCAUGCGGGAGGAAGAGCUGGUUUUCCCAGGAAGAUGAGGUCAGAUUUGAGCCUGUUGAAUGUGACAUUUAUGUGGAACUGACCUGCGAGGGGGGGAGGACCAUUUGGAUCUAGGUGUCAGGAGGGUGGCUUGGGGGACAGCUGGGGAUCUGGGCAUUGUAGGUGAAUAGCCACUGAAUCUGUGGAUUUGGCUGAGAUCACCCCAGGAGAGUGCGAAGUGGGAGAAGAGAAGAGAGACAAUGCUGAAACCCCAUGGGAACUGACAUUAAGUGACAACCAAAGGAAGAUAACUCAGUGAAGGGGACAGAAAUAGUCUAGCAGCCAGCAAACCAGUGAAGUGUCAUGCAUGGAAACCCAGGAAAUACAGAGCCUCAAGGAGGGAGAAUGGGGGGAAACACCAGCCAGCACUGCAGCAUUUGACAGCAUCAAAAGCUGACUGGAGCUUGACUAAGACAUUCCAUUAGGUUUGGGAAUUUGGAAUCCAUUGGUGACCUUAGGGAGAGCCAUUUCCCCAGAGAGGCAGGGGAAAAGCCAGAUUGCACCGGGGUGAGGAAAGGAAGAGGGGUGACGAUGCAUGGAUGGCAGGUUAUAGAGAGAUGUGUUUAUUUUAUUGGAAGAUAUGAUACAAACUACACCAAAGACAGCCAGGAACCUUCCUGAACAAAAAGUACAAAGGAAAAUAAUACAGAAUGACAAAACCUACUCAACAGCUUAACCGUAAGACCUCGGGGUAGUCUAAAUCAGAGAUGGAUGACAGCCUCCCAGGAAAGUGGCAAUAUAAGACAGCAUUGGGGAUUCAGCGGGGCGACCACUGUCACCGCAAGGCCGCCCUGCAGACAGCACCUGUCCUAAGAGGGCUGCAAGCCCUGGAGAGCAACAUUAAGGUGAUGUCUUUCAACAGCUUCAGUUGCCAGCUGUGAAUUCCAAGCCAUCCUCUUACCUUCACUUUGGGCAGACGCUGACUCCUUGAUUUUCUCAUCUUUCUGCAUUAUCUUGGCCUGUGGAUAGUGUCCACAAGAAAUGAAGACUAUAGGCUCAAGGUGGGGUAGCAGACACCACCAGUACCUGGCCGCAGCACCCCUAUCUUUGCCAUUUCAGUGCACGCAGCCAGACUUCCAGUUGCCAGCACCUAUGGAUAUUUGCAGGUAGGCAUUCUCUGGCCAUCAGAGCCUGCUUUACUUUUUAAUUUUUUUUCUAUCAUUACUUAUUUUAUUUUACUUUAAGUUCUGGGAUACAUGUGCUGAAUGUGCAGGUUUGUUACAUAGGUAUACAUGUGCCAUGGUGGUUUGCUGCACCUUUCAACCAAUCAUCUAGGUUUUAAGGCCUGCAUGCAUUAGGUAUUUGUCCUAAUGCUCUCCCUUCCCUUUCCUCCCACCCCCUGACAGGCUUCAGUGUGUGA
Molecule: long non-coding RNA, 6325 nt
Filed under: Homo sapiens (human)
Lineage: Eukaryota; Metazoa; Chordata; Mammalia; Primates; Hominidae
Description: HSALNT0153054
Source: RNAcentral